Molecule: ribosomal RNA, 463 nt
Filed under: uncultured bacterium
Lineage: Bacteria
Description: bacterial SSU rRNA
Rfam family: Bacterial small subunit ribosomal RNA
Source: RNAcentral
CUACGGAACUCCUACGGGAGGCAGCAGUGGGGAAUAUUGCACAAUGGGCGAAAGCCUGAUGCAGCGACGCCGCGUGAGGGAUGACGGCCUUCGGGUUGUAAACCUCUUUCAGUAGGGAAGAAGCGAGAGUGACGGUACCUGCAGAAGAAGCGCCGGCUAACUACGUGCCAGCAGCCGCGGUAAUACGUAGGGCGCAAGCGUUGUCCGGAAUUACUGGGCGUAAAGAGCUCGUAGGCGGUUUGUCACGUCGUCUGUGAAAUCCUAGGGCUUAACCCUGGACGUGCAGGCGAUACGGGCUGACUUGAGUACUACAGGGGAGACUGGAAUUUCUGGUGUAGCGGUGGAAUGCACAGAUAUCAGGAAGAACACCGAUGGCGAAGGCAGGUCUCUGGGUAGUAACUGACGCUGAGGAGCGAAAGCAUGGGUAGCGAACAGGAUUAGAUACCCGUGUAGUCCUCUUCGA